This 1133-nucleotide long non-coding RNA is filed under the name Equus caballus (horse). RNAcentral's name for it is "lncRNA (ENSECAG00000044726.1)". Lineage: Eukaryota; Metazoa; Chordata; Mammalia; Perissodactyla; Equidae. The record is from RNAcentral.
UGCCAACCCAGGGGCCCUGGCAUUUGACCAGCGGGAGAGGCAGCUUGGUAAGGGGGAAGGAGCGUGCCCUGGGCGAGUGGAGCCAGGUUUGAAUGCUGCCCUACCUCCGCCCAGCGCAGCUGACCACUCCCGUCCACUCCCUUCCCCUCCUCCCACCCCAUGGGAUCUCAGUGAGCUUCUCCUCUCUUUCGGGAGAGUUGGUGAGGAGCUCAGGAUCAGCAUAAGUGGAGCCCUUCAUACUCAACCAGGACAUGUGAUUUUCCUGGAACACAGCCUGGCCUCUUUAGGGACAAUUUUCAGUCCUGCCAGAGACUUCCACCCUUCCCAACCAGCUGUGGACUCCCGAGCCUUCAACUGCACCCUGAGUCUGGGGGCAGAUGUUGGAGUGCAAGGAGCCUGGGCAGUGGUGCUCGCCCAGGCUGCCUAAGGCCACCAUUCAUUCUACUUUAUGCACCAGGCUCAACUCUGUACACGCGGCCUCAUUGACACUCAUGCCAGCCCUGUGAGGCACACUAUUAUGACCUCCGUUUUACAGAGGAGGAAACUGAGGUUCAGAGAGUACUUUAGCAGCUCUGGAGAGCGGGGCUUGGCUUUCCCCCCAUCUCUGCCACUGGCUGGUUAGGUUCACCAGGAGUGGGCAAGCUGGGUUCCAAGCCUCUGCUUGGGAUCUGGAGAAUGUAAACGGCAUAAGGGCUGGUCGUCCUUGAGCAAAUGUUUAGGCACCUACUGUUGGAGACAGGGAGGAAGGAAACAGCAGCCUUUCGGGAGCUCGCAAACCCAGGGCGUUGGACAGGUCUGCAGCCAAGGUUUCCCAGCUACCCUAAGACGUUGGCUGGACAGAACUAUCCUCAAGGACAGACAGAAAACAGAACCAGGGGCAUGGAAAGUCUUGCCCAUGGUCAUGGGGCUCCAUAAUUGAAAAGCCAAGGCCCAUUCCUGGCUCCAGCUCUAGGCUCCUGCCCCUGAACCUUCUGCCCAGGCUCCCAUCCGACCUCCCGGGACCCUGCCUGCCACAGCCCACCACACCAUCUACCUCCUUGCACCCCCAUGACCUCCUCCCCUGGGGGAGACAGGGCACUCCAGAUGGAGUGUGAGCCCUGCAUUUUCACAGGAAAACCGCCACAGGGUCUGGU